GACGAACGCUGGCGGCGUGCUUAACACAUGCAAGUCGAACGGAAAGGCCCUGCUUGCAGGGUACUCGAGUGGCGAACGGGUGAGUAACACGUGGGUGAUCUGCCCUGCACUUCGGGAUAAGCCUGGGAAACUGGGUCUAAUACCGGAUAGGAGCCAUUUUUAGUGUGAUGGUUGGAAAGUUUUUUCGGUGUAGGAUGAGCACGCGGCCUAUCAGCUUGUUGGUGGGGUAAUGGCCUACCAAGGCGGCGACGGGUAGCCGGCCUGAGAGGGUGGACGGCCACAUUGGGACUGAGAUACGGCCCAGACUCCUACGGGAGGCAGCAGUGGGGAAUAUUGCACAAUGGGCGCAAGCCUGAUGCAGCGACGCCGCGUGGGGGAUGACGGCCUUCGGGUUGUAAACUCCUUUCGCUAGGGACGAAGCUUUUUGUGACGGUACCUAGAUAAGAAGCACCGGCUAACUACGUG
This 465-nucleotide ribosomal RNA is filed under the name uncultured bacterium. Its description in RNAcentral is "partial 16S ribosomal RNA". It matches the Rfam family "Bacterial small subunit ribosomal RNA", at positions 28 to 507 of the family's 1533-position model. The record is from RNAcentral.